Molecule: ribosomal RNA, 780 nt
Filed under: Escherichia coli
Lineage: Bacteria; Pseudomonadati; Pseudomonadota; Gammaproteobacteria; Enterobacterales; Enterobacteriaceae
Description: partial 23S ribosomal RNA
Rfam family: Bacterial large subunit ribosomal RNA
Source: RNAcentral
GAGGCUUGGAAGUGUGGACGCCAGUCUGCAUGGAGCCGACCUUGAAAUACCACCCUUUAAUGUUUGAUGUUCUAACGUUGACCCGUAAUCCGGGUUGCGGACAGUGUCUGGUGGGUAGUUUGACUGGGGCGGUCUCCUCCUAAAGAGUAACGGAGGAGCACGAAGGUUGGCUAAUCCUGGUCGGACAUCAGGAGGUUAGUGCAAUGGCAUAAGCCAGCUUGACUGCGAGCGUGACGGCGCGAGCAGGUGCGAAAGCAGGUCAUAGUGAUCCGGUGGUUCUGAAUGGAAGGGCCAUCGCUCAACGGAUAAAAGGUACUCCGGGGAUAACAGGCUGAUACCGCCCAAGAGUUCAUAUCGACGGCGGUGUUUGGCACCUCGAUGUCGGCUCAUCACAUCCUGGGGCUGAAGUAGGUCCCAAGGGUAUGGCUGUUCGCCAUUUAAAGUGGUACGCGAGCUGGGUUUAGAACGUCGUGAGACAGUUCGGUCCCUAUCUGCCGUGGGCGCUGGAGAACUGAGGGGGGCUGCUCCUAGUACGAGAGGACCGGAGUGGACGCAUCACUGGUGUUCGGGUUGUCAUGCCAAUGGCACUGCCCGGUAGCUAAAUGCGGAAGAGAUAAGUGCUGAAAGCAUCUAAGCACGAAACUUGCCCCGAGAUGAGUUCUCCCUGACUCCUUGAGAGUCCUGAAGGAACGUUGAAGACGACGACGUUGAUAGGCCGGGUGUGUAAGCGCAGCGAUGCGUUGAGCUAACCGGUACUAAUGAACCGUGAGGCUUAACCUU